GAAAGUAUAUCUCAGUGGUAGAGUGUUUGCUUAGCAUGCAUGAGGUCCUGGGUUCAAUUCCCAGUACCUCCA
RNAcentral lists this transfer RNA (72 nucleotides) under Camelus bactrianus (Bactrian camel). It matches the Rfam family "tRNA". From Rfam's summary of the family: Transfer RNA (tRNA) molecules are approximately 80 nucleotides in length. RNAcentral also lists the same sequence under 2 other names. Lineage: Eukaryota; Metazoa; Chordata; Mammalia; Artiodactyla; Camelidae. The record is from Rfam by way of RNAcentral.